Long non-coding RNA from Silurus meridionalis, 3594 nucleotides. RefSeq lists it as uncharacterized. The record is from RefSeq and is a predicted model, not a curated record. The transcript has 3 exons. Lineage: Eukaryota; Metazoa; Chordata; Actinopteri; Siluriformes; Siluridae.
CUCCCUCUCCAUCAGUCUUUAGAGCCAGUUCCCUUCUUGCAGCUAUAUAGUUAGGUGCAUUAGGUGUUCUCUCUCUCUCUUUCUCUCUCUCUUUCUCUCUCUUACACUUUUUUUAUUUCUCUCCCUCACACAUCUACCCAUCUAGAGGUCUACUCCCUUUCAAUUCAUCUCUGUUUUCUCAUUUCUUUUCUAACCUCCCUUUUUGCUGUCUUCCUUCUGAGAGUUUCCUCUUCAUGCGCAACAACUGGUAGCUCUCCCCCCCUUUUCUCCUCCUCCCCUCUUCUUCUUUGCGGAAGGUCCGCUUAUCUUCCAGCACCUGUGCUUCGAAGGGUGUUGGAGUGCAAAGUGGGUAGGGUGGGGGGUUCCUGUGGUUUUUGGGUACAAGCCAAGGAGGCAAAAGGAAGCCACGAGGUUUAGAGCUCCUUUCCGGCAUCAUCAGCAGCACCAGCAGCAGCAGCAGAAGCGGCAGAAACGACAGAAGAGGCAGCACAUCCCUCAAUCUCUCACUCACUCUGCUGCUUGAAAGGAAAACGAGGACCUUGCAGGCUUUGUGCUUGCGCCAAGAGCUGCAGAGAAAAGAGAAACAGAGUGAUGGGGACAAACUGACAGGCAUCCAUGGAUCCUGGUAUGUGUAUCUCCAUGUGGAGCGUCUGGGACCAUCUGGAUAAACCCAAAACUGCCAUGAUGGGUCUCCAAUUCACCAUUUAGAUGCAACGUUUGGCUGGCUUGCCCUGUGAAAAAAAGCCCCAUCUUCAAUCAAUCCCCCUAAAGAGAAGGUCUCUGGUGUUGGCCUGUGUGCCACAGUGGCUGUUUGAGUGUCAGGCACUUCCCUCCUCCCUCUUCUUUCUGAGGCUCUCUUCGGUGACGGGUAUUCUUGGGUGGAUAAUACGGAUCACGUUGUUAUUGCUUAAGAAUACGCGUAGUUGAGGAGAGUCAUUUUCGACCGUGCCUUCAGGGAGCUGACCUCGGCUUAACCGCUCUCCAGACGUCCUAGCCGAGUGCCGUUGUUAAAGGAGGGGGAGAAGAAAAAAAUAAGAGGGGGAAAAGAGUGAACGUUUCUAUCGAGGUUCAUUUAUCAGUGCAGCAGAUAAUCAUUUCCCCAGCGUUUGCAUCGAUUUCUCUACGGCAAGUCUUCAUGUUGUUAUUACUCCAGCGUUCUAGCGAGUUGUAUCAGGAGGCUGGCAUUUCCUGCUUGCUGAGACUUCAUCCGUAUCCUCUGUGCAUUUAUAUUUCACCCACCAUCUUGCUAUCAUCCAUCCUGCCACAGUGAUGUUUUAUGUAGCGCUAUUCAACCACACUGCAUUCUGUAUUUCACACAAUUUGCUUGGUUUGCUUGGAGGGUGUUGGUGUGUGGGGUAGAGUGGGGAGUGGCGGAGGGGACAGGCUGUUUAUUCUUUACUUCAGGGAGCGUUUCAGUGUGCACACGCCUGCUCGCCUCUCUGAUGGGAAUGCAUUUACUGCCUUUUUAUAAUCGUGGGCCUUUAAAGGCUGCGAGAUCCCUGGACUGCGCUGAGUGCACACUCAAGCUGAUUACGAGAAGGCCUUAAACGGGAGCACCAAAUGCAUACGAAGGCCUCGUUUCAACUGGAAAAAGAUACUAUAUCUUUAUAGCGCAGCAGGAAAAGCAGCAAAACAGCAUACUCUACUCAAGAAAUCCAGACGCAUAGCGUAGUCUAUCUAGCAUUCUUCACACGCUCCCUUGUGACUGUUCUCUAUACAGCUGAAAUGUCUCGAACGGCUUUCCUCCUACUGAUAAAGAGCCUUUACGCAAAAUGAUGUGCUCUGUAAAAGCACUAAUUACAUUUUAAUGAUGCUCGCCAAAUGCCUGACGUGUGUUUCUGAAGCCCAGUGAAGCCUGUGCCACAUGAUAAUGACCAUCGCUUUCCAUAUAGCCGGCCCCAUUUAUAUGCCAUCACAUUCCUUUUCAAAAAUGUAAUAUAUGAACCAAAGAGCAGCAAUUAAUUACACGCAAUCCAAUCAUGUGCAAGUGUAGCAUCUUACUUCUAUCAAUAGUCCUUAUUUGUUUAUGGAUUAUAGCGUAAAGAACUACAGUGUCAUUAAAAAAAAAAAAAAAAAGAAAGUGUUUUUUUAUUCAUUUAGAUUAAUUAUAGUUCACCUGUUUGAGAUAAAAAUGAAACGCAGGUGUUCUGCAUAAGACAGGAGAUUUCAUUCAUUAAGCUAUGAGAGACAGUGGAAAGCUGCUGUUAUUCAGCCUCAUUAUUCAUCAUGACAAAUACAGUUGGCAAAGACACGUUUUAAUUUACAAGGUAGUGAAACUCCUGAAAAUCAGACACGUGCAGUCUGCUAGACUAAAUAGCAUGUUGUCUUUUUAUACUGUCUCUGCGUGGCUAAAGUAUCACAAAACAUCUAUUCGAAGAAAAAUCCAGUUGCAGGAUAACAUAAAGUAGGAUUUCUUCUUUAGCUUUUUUCAUUUAUCAGCAUUGUAUCGAAGUGACUAUUUAUGAGAGGAAUUCAUAUUCAGUUAUCAAAGUGCAAAACUGCAUAUAAACCAAAACUAAAAACUAAAAAUACUGUAAAUCACAGAUGCUGAAGACAAUGUCAGCUUUUUUUUUAAUAGAUUUAGCCAUGAUCCAGCUCAUAAAAGGCUUCCUGAACACUUAAAUAGCUGCUUUGUUAGUGCAGAGGGAAAUAUAGUUUGAAGAGUUCUCUAGUGAAUAAUUACCUCAGAAGAAUGAAAAACAUUGAAAUUCUUUUUUUUUUUUCCAGGAAUGUGUGUGUGUGUGUGUGUGUGUGUGUGUUGGGUGGGGGGAAGCAGAUGUAAUUCCACUGAUGUAAUUAAAAGCAUUGUUAGAAUAUUAUUAAGCAUUUUGAAUAGGGGAAAUCAGUGAAGUAGAAUCAAUCGCUCAAAAAAGCGUUCGAGCACGGCGAUCAGAGGAUGACGAUGAAUUCUUAAUCCAGAAGUCGAUAUUUCCAUAGACUUCUUUUCUACCCUGAGCUAAUUGCACUACAUUUGAUUUAAAUGACAAAUUCUUUAGCAGCAUACGGCUUCUAUGCAACUUUCGAGACAAAGUCUCGAAUAUAUAAACAGAAUAUUCUCUAGGCCUGACCUACUAGUCUAAGCCUGGUUUUACCAACACAUGUGCAUAUGCACAAUGGGAGAGACGAGAUUUAGACACUGAUUAUAUAUGUCCUAUUGUUCAUCUCUGAAAAACCCAUGUUUCCAUUGUGCUUUCAUUCUGAAAGUCUCUGACCAUUGAUAUUUUUAAGAAAUAAAAUAGAUUUUGUGUGGAAAAAACAUUUUGUGUAAUGAUCCCAAUGAUCAAAUACAUUGUGUUUGAAAUGUACAAUCAGUCCAUUCAACCAUAGUCAUGCACUACCAUACAGUAUGUCAUGCAUAUCAUACAUAAUGCAUAAUGUUAUUAAAGUGGACAUCUUGGUGACCGUUAUUUAUCUUAUACAUGCUGGUCAAAAUUGUGAUAAAAUGUUGUUGUGUUAUAAAACUGUAAUAUCAGCGAUGCAGUAAGGCAGUAAAGAAGUGUUGAGUGUUUCAGAAUGUUAUAAUGACAUCAUUUGCCUUUCAAGAAAACCUUUCAUGUUUGCUUUCCUGUUCAAUAAAUGCACAACUUUUUAUGA